ACGGGAGGCAGCAGCUAAGAAUAUUCCGCAAUGGACGAAAGUCUGACGGAGCGACGCCGCGUGGAUGAUGAAGGUCGAAAGAUUGUAAAAUCCUUUUAGGAGUGAAGAAUAAGAGGUGCAGGGAAUGGCAUCACGGUGACGGUAGCUCCUGAAUAAGCAACGGCUAAUUACGUGCCAGCAGCCGCGGUAACACGUAAGUUGCGAGCGUUGUUCGGAAUUAUUGGGCGUAAAGGGCAUGUAGGCGGAUAUGCAAGCUUGGUGUGAAAGGCGGGAGCUCAACUCCCGAACUGCGUUGAGAACUGCAUAACUAGAGUGACUGAGGGGCAGGCAGAAUUCCAGGUGUAGGGGUGAAAUCUGUAGAUAUCUGGAAGAAUACCAAUGGCGAAGGCAGCCUGCCAGCAGAUGACUGACGCUGAGGUGCGAAGGUGCGGGGAGCAAACAGGAUUAGAUACCCUGGUA
Molecule: ribosomal RNA, 459 nt
Filed under: uncultured Treponema sp.
Lineage: Bacteria; Pseudomonadati; Spirochaetota; Spirochaetia; Treponematales; Treponemataceae
Description: partial 16S ribosomal RNA
Rfam family: Bacterial small subunit ribosomal RNA
Source: RNAcentral